This 1366-nucleotide ribosomal RNA is filed under the name Mycolicibacterium gilvum. RNAcentral describes it as "bacterial SSU rRNA". It matches the Rfam family "Bacterial small subunit ribosomal RNA". Lineage: Bacteria; Bacillati; Actinomycetota; Actinomycetes; Mycobacteriales; Mycobacteriaceae. The record is from RNAcentral.
GGAAAGGCCCUUCGGGGUACUCGAGUGGCGAACGGGUGAGUAACACGUGGGUGAUCUGCCCUGCACUUUGGGAUAAGCCUGGGAAACUGGGUCUAAUACCGAAUAGGACCGCAUGCUUCAUGGUGUGUGGUGGAAAGCUUUUGCGGUGUGGGAUGGGCCCGCGGCCUAUCAGCUUGUUGGUGAGGUAAUGGCUUACCAAGGCGACGACGGGUAGCCGGCCUGAGAGGGUGACCGGCCACACUGGGACUGAGAUACGGCCCAGACUCCUACGGGAGGCAGCAGUGGGGAAUAUUGCACAAUGGGCGCAAGCCUGAUGCAGCGACGCCGCGUGAGGGAUGACGGCCUUCGGGUUGUAAACCUCUUUCGCCAGGGACGAAGCGCAAGUGACGGUACCUGGAGAAGAAGGACCGGCCAACUACGUGCCAGCAGCCGCGGUAAUACGUAGGGUCCGAGCGUUGUCCGGAAUUACUGGGCGUAAAGAGCUCGUAGGUGGUUUGUCGCGUUGUUCGUGAAAACUCACAGCUUAACUGUGGGCGUGCGGGCGAUACGGGCAGACUUGAGUACUGCAGGGGAGACUGGAAUUCCUGGUGUAGCGGUGGAAUGCGCAGAUAUCAGGAGGAACACCGGUGGCGAAGGCGGGUCUCUGGGCAGUAACUGACGCUGAGGAGCGAAAGCGUGGGGAGCGAACAGGAUUAGAUACCCUGGUAGUCCACGCCGUAAACGGUGGGUACUAGGUGUGGGUUUCCUUCCUUGGGAUCCGUGCCGUAGCUAACGCAUUAAGUACCCCGCCUGGGGAGUACGGCCGCAAGGCUAAAACUCAAAGAAAUUGACGGGGGCCCGCACAAGCGGCGGAGCAUGUGGAUUAAUUCGAUGCAACGCGAAGAACCUUACCUGGGUUUGACAUGCACAGGACGCCGGCAGAGAUGUCGGUUCCCUUGUGGCCUGUGUGCAGGUGGUGCAUGGCUGUCGUCAGCUCGUGUCGUGAGAUGUUGGGUUAAGUCCCGCAACGAGCGCAACCCUUGUCUCAUGUUGCCAGCACGUUAUGGUGGGGACUCGUGAGAGACUGCCGGGGUCAACUCGGAGGAAGGUGGGGAUGACGUCAAGUCAUCAUGCCCCUUAUGUCCAGGGCUUCACACAUGCUACAAUGGCCGGUACAAAGGGCUGCGAUGCCGUGAGGUGGAGCGAAUCCUUUCAAAGCCGGUCUCAGUUCGGAUCGGGGUCUGCAACUCGACCCCGUGAAGUCGGAGUCGCUAGUAAUCGCAGAUCAGCAACGCUGCGGUGAAUACGUUCCCGGGCCUUGUACACACCGCCCGUCACGUCAUGAAAGUCGGUAACACCCGAAGCCGGUGGCCUAACCCCUUGUGGG